CGUACGAAGCUGUUCUAGCAGAGCAAUCAGGCUUCCGGGUUGAUCACCUUUGCACUUCGACCUUGACCUCCACUCCAGAUCUUCCAACUGACUAGACGAUACCACUGCGUACAUGUGGUAUAUAUAGGUAAGUCCCCAUAUGACAGGCCUGCCCAGGAAGACUGCCCGCGCUCCGAGUGCCAGCGCCUUCAGCGCGUCAGUUCCCGUCCGCACGCCUCCGUCCAGUAGCUGGAACUCCAUCCAGUUGUCUCCCUCCGUGAUUGGACACAAGAAUCCCCUUUACACCUGGGUGGUCCAGGGCUAUCCCAGCAUCCUCUGCUGUCAGGAUUCCCUUCAGUAUGAUUGGCAG
Branchiostoma floridae (Florida lancelet) is the source of this 349-nucleotide long non-coding RNA. RefSeq lists it as uncharacterized. The record is from RefSeq and is a predicted model, not a curated record. The transcript has 3 exons. NCBI's taxonomy places the organism in Eukaryota, Metazoa, Chordata, Leptocardii, Amphioxiformes, Branchiostomatidae.